GGCCCCAUCGUCUAGAGGCUUAGGACAACCGGCUUUCGAUCGGACAACACGGGUUCAAAUCCCGUUGGGGCUU
This 73-nucleotide transfer RNA is filed under the name Planktothrix sp. FACHB-1355. Its description in RNAcentral is "tRNA-Glu". It matches the Rfam family "tRNA". Rfam says of the family: Transfer RNA (tRNA) molecules are approximately 80 nucleotides in length. RNAcentral also lists the same sequence under 1 other name. Lineage: Bacteria; Bacillati; Cyanobacteriota; Cyanophyceae; Oscillatoriales; Microcoleaceae. The record is from RNAcentral.